CAUAAACAAAUAACCCAGCUAACAUAAUAGAAAGAAAAACAAACCAAACAAAUAACCCAGCUAACAUGUAUAAUAAAGAUAGCAAAAAAAAGGUAUAUAUAUACCCAGCUAAUCAGAGAUCAACAACAAAAAAUAGGCAGAGUAUAUGUAUAUAACCAGCUACUUGUUGUUCAGCUAACAGAGAGCAACAAAACAGAGAAAAAAUAGGCAGUUUAAAAAAAAUAAACAUAGCUAUCAAUAACCCAGCUAAUCAGUUACUGCAAAAAAAAAGCCUACAUUCAAAACCAAAAAAAAAUUCUGAUGCUUCAUAAUAUGCAGAACUAAAAAAAAAUUGUAAACCAAACAAACCAAAUAACCCAACCCAGCUAACAACAGCAUAUAUAUAUAAAAAAAUAUACUCAGCAGAUUCUAAAUACCCAUAUCAACAAAACAUAAUAAAAUCACAACCCUAAAGAUCAAAUCAACAGAAAAAAAAUAAACAAAA
RNAcentral lists this long non-coding RNA (484 nucleotides) under Manihot esculenta (cassava). Its description in RNAcentral is "long non-coding RNA (MESC_LNC003646)". The record is from RNAcentral. Lineage: Eukaryota; Viridiplantae; Streptophyta; Magnoliopsida; Malpighiales; Euphorbiaceae.